Molecule: non-coding RNA, 126 nt
Filed under: Dermacoccus sp.
Lineage: Bacteria; Bacillati; Actinomycetota; Actinomycetes; Micrococcales; Dermacoccaceae
Source: RNAcentral
GGCGCGCGCGUCUGCCAUGAUGUCUCCCGGUUGCAUGACGAGGAAUACCGGUGAGAAUCCGGAGCGGUCCCGCCACUGUGAGCUUCCCUUCGAAGCGAGCCAGGACGUCGUCAUCACCUGCCACGU